GGCUCACGUUGACUGGGCGUCCGC
Molecule: microRNA, 24 nt
Filed under: Dinoponera quadriceps
Lineage: Eukaryota; Metazoa; Arthropoda; Insecta; Hymenoptera; Formicidae
Description: dqu-miR-3759-3p
Source: miRBase by way of RNAcentral